UACAAUCAUAUCAUUCCAAGCCGAGGCAUAUCCUAACAAGAGGUAGACUAUUGAGUGACUCACUAAGAGAGAGACCUGAUGACACUGAUGAAGAAGAAACCUCAUCAACUUACUGGACUAGGCAACUAAUGAAAGUGGAAGAGAAUGAUCCUGACCGUUGGGGUCACAGUGGCUAUAAGGAACUCUAUCCAGAGGAAUUCAUUUCAACUGAUGAGGAGAGAGGAGGGAAGAGAAAGAGAGAGAGAG
Amphimedon queenslandica is the source of this 246-nucleotide long non-coding RNA. RefSeq lists it as uncharacterized. Lineage: Eukaryota; Metazoa; Porifera; Demospongiae; Haplosclerida; Niphatidae. The transcript is spliced from 3 exons. The record is from RefSeq and is a predicted model, not a curated record.